Molecule: long non-coding RNA, 375 nt
Filed under: Amborella trichopoda
Lineage: Eukaryota; Viridiplantae; Streptophyta; Magnoliopsida; Amborellales; Amborellaceae
Description: long non-coding RNA (ATRI_LNC002940)
Source: RNAcentral
UCAGUCAGUCCUUAAUUGAUUGUUUAUGGACAAUAUAGAUUUAGAGUGAGUGGAUGGGUCACAUGUUUCCUUCUUGACCUCAAGUUACGGGCAUCCCCAUUGGAGGGAGGAUACAAUGAUUAUUCCAUCUCCUCAUUCAAAGUAUUUUAUGCUCCCGCGGGAGCAUCUUCUUCUGUUGGCUCAUUCUCGUGCCUCACAUAAAACCUAGACACCAAAUUUUGGGAUGCACGAGCUCCUUAGUCCCAAAAUAAUAAAAAAAUGGACAUGAUGUAAAGAAAAACAAAAAAAAUGAAAAAACAAGUUAAACUUUUCAAGAAAAAAGGAAACGAAAAUUAUAAACAAAUCAAAGGCACUUUUUACUUGGUUGGAAAUAAA